GCUGGGUGUGAUGGCUCACACCUGUAAUCCCAGAAACUUUGGAGGCUGAGGCAGGAGAAUAGUAUGUUUGAGGCUAGCCGGGGCAACACAGCAAGACCACAUCUUAAAAAUAAAAAUUAAAUGACAGUAAGAGCCUGUUUCAA
RNAcentral lists this small RNA (143 nucleotides) under Marmota monax (woodchuck). Lineage: Eukaryota; Metazoa; Chordata; Mammalia; Rodentia; Sciuridae. The record is from RNAcentral.